CAGAAAAUAGUUUAGGUUUUUAAAAUAUAAAUUUUGGAGAUUUAAGAGAUAUAAUUAUAUUUUUCUGA
Molecule: transfer RNA, 68 nt
Filed under: Neoseiulus californicus
Lineage: Eukaryota; Metazoa; Arthropoda; Arachnida; Mesostigmata; Phytoseiidae
Description: tRNA-Pro
Source: RNAcentral